GAUGAACGCUGGCGGCGUGCCUAAUACAUGCAAGUCGAGCGAACGGACGAGAAGCUUGCUUCUCUGAUGUUAGCGGCGGACGGGUGAGUAACACGUGGAUAACCUACCUAUAAGACUGGGAUAACUUCGGGAAACCGGAGCUAAUACCGGAUGAUAUUUUGAACCGCAUGGUUCAAAAGUGAAAGACGGUCUUGCUGUCACUUAUAGAUGGAUCCGCGCUGCAUUAGCUAGUUGGUAAGGUAACGGCUUACCAAGGCAACGAUGCAUAGCCGACCUGAGAGGGUGAUCGGCCACACUGGAACUGAGACACGGUCCAGACUCCUACGGGAGGCAGCAGUAGGGACUCUUCCGCAAUGGGCGAAAGCCUGACGGAGCAACGCCGCGUGAGUGAUGAAGGUCUUCGGAUCGUAAAACUCUGUUAUUAGGGAAGAACAUAUGUGUAAGUAACUGUGCACAUCUUGACGGUACCUAAUCAGAAAGCCACGGCUAACUACGUG
RNAcentral lists this ribosomal RNA (497 nucleotides) under uncultured bacterium. RNAcentral's name for it is "partial 16S ribosomal RNA". It matches the Rfam family "Bacterial small subunit ribosomal RNA", at positions 28 to 507 of the family's 1533-position model. The record is from RNAcentral.